This is a long non-coding RNA of Choloepus didactylus (southern two-toed sloth), 1007 nucleotides long. RefSeq lists it as uncharacterized. NCBI's taxonomy places the organism in Eukaryota, Metazoa, Chordata, Mammalia, Pilosa, Megalonychidae. The record is from RefSeq and is a predicted model, not a curated record. The transcript is spliced from 3 exons.
UCUGCUCCAUGAGACUGUACUUCCUAAUAAAAUAGUAGGUCAUAAACUCCAUAGUUUAGGUUGAGCUUUUUGAAAAACCCAGACUAAGAGAGUUAACGAAGGAAAAGAAAAUACCCAGGUUCAUUCUUUCUGGAGUCAAUCUGGUUGCUUGGAUUUUGGUGUUAGAACACUUGGAAUAUAUCCUAGUUUUUCCAGAUACCUGGGAAAAGUUCACAAUGCUUCGAAUGUAUUGAGCAUUUUAAUGUAAUCACUUAGGUCAAUAAAUAGGGAACUCAAGUUAGUGUCAGUGUAACUUGAGUGAAUUGAUUAUUGAGCCACUAACUCUUUCCCCACUUUUUUUCCUAGGAAUUGCUUGCCUAUGUUUCUGUCAUAUUUACGGAAUGGGCAUCCACGAUUAUAAAACAUUCUGCUUCCUGGCCAAAGGAUUCCUGAAAAACUGUGCCAAUAGAGUUUGUCUGGUGGCAGAAGUGGAAGUCAGAGAGAGUCGAAGCAUGAGGGGAUCUGACAUAUGAGAAACCCUUGAAGGUGUUGGGGGCAAUGUGAGAAGGAAUGUGUGUGGCCUUAGGAGCUGACAGUGCCCUGCUGACAGUCCUCAGGGAAACUGAAGUCUUCUCACAACAUGAAUGAGCUUGGAAGCAGAGUUCCAUCAUAGCCAUCAGGCGAGGACUCAGCCGGCUGAACCUUUACUAUUGGCCAUUUGAGAUCCUGAACAAAGGACCCAGUUCUGCCUUUCUGGACUUCUGUCCCACAAAACUGCGAGGCUUUGUUAUUUUAUCUCAUGCUGCCUAUAUGUCUUUCUGAAACUACUAUUACUGAAUCAUUACAAAAAGGAAGAGUUGUUCUUCAUCCACAAAUGUGUCAUUGGGCUGAUUAUUUCCUCAAGGAGAAGAAAUUCUGUCUGUGGACUGUAGCUUCAGCUGGUGCCCAAGAGCUCCAGCGUCCUUGUGUGACUGUCUGCCAUAUAAAAUUCAGACAUGCCUAGCCAGCCCCAACAAUGCAUAACUCAA